UGAAUACGAGAUGCUACGGCGUCGAAGCAGUCUAUGUCAUACUUCCAAGAAAAGCUUGCACUGUCAUAAACAAAUAAUGCCUGUACCAUAACCGACACAGGUGGGUAGGUAGAGUAUACUAAGGGGCGCGAGAUAACUCUCUCUAAGGAACUCGGCAAAAUGACUCCGUAACUUCGGGAGAAGGAGUGCCUUAUUUAUAAGGUUGCAAUGACAAGAUCCAAGCAACUGUUUACCAAAGACACAGGUCUCCGCUAAGUCGUAAGACGAUGUAUGGGGGCUGACGCCUGCCCAGUGCCAGAAGGUUAAAGAAGUUGGUUAGCAUCCGCGAAGCUGAUAACUGAAGCCCUGGUGAACGGCGGCCGUAACGAUAACGGUUCUAAGGUAGCGAAAUUCCUUGUCGGGUAAGUUCCGACCCGCACGAAAGGCGUAAUGAUUUGGAUACUGUCUCGGAGAGGGGCUCGGUGAAAUAGACUUGUCUGUGAAGAUGCGGACUACCUGCACCAGGACAGAAAGACCCUAUGAAGCUUUACUGUAACCUGAAAUUGAAAUUGGACUUUACUUGCGCAGUAUAGGUGGGAGGCGUUGAGAAUAUUCUUGCGGGAUUAUUGGAGCCAUCAGUGAGAUACCACUCUUGUAAUGUUAGAUUUCUAACUUUGUAUCAUUAUCUGGUCAAAGAACAGUUUCAGGCGGGCAGUUUGACUGGGGCGGUCGCCUCCUAAACGGUAACGGAGGCGCACAAAGGUUUCCUCUGAACGGGUAGAAAUCGUAUCUAGAGUGUAAAGGCAUAAGGAAGCUUGACUGUGAGACCUACAAGUCGAGCAGGGACGAAAGUCGGUCUUAGUGAUCUGACGGUGCUGAGUGGAAAGGCCGUCACUCAACGGAUAAAAGUUACUCUAGGAUAACAGGCUGAUCUCCCCCAAGAGUUCACAUCGACGGGGAGGUUUGGCACCUCGAUGUCGUCUCAUCGCAUCCUGGGGCGGUAGUACGUCCCAAGGGUUGGGCUGUUCGCCCAUGAAAGCGGUACGCGAGCUGGGUUCAGAACGUCGUGAGACAGUUCGGUCCAUAUCCGGUGUAGGCGUUAGAAUAUUGAGAGGAGCCUUCUUUAGUACGAGAGGACCGAGAAGGACAUACCUCUGGUGUACCAGUUAUCGUGCCAACGGUAAACGCUGGGUAGCCAUGUGUGGAGUGGAUAACCGCUGAAAGCAUCUAAGUGGGAAGCCCACCUCAAGAUAAG
This 1234-nucleotide ribosomal RNA is filed under the name metagenome. Its description in RNAcentral is "bacterial LSU rRNA". It matches the Rfam family "Bacterial large subunit ribosomal RNA", at positions 1564 to 2808 of the family's 2925-position model. The record is from RNAcentral.